RNAcentral lists this ribosomal RNA (467 nucleotides) under uncultured bacterium. RNAcentral describes it as "partial 16S ribosomal RNA". It matches the Rfam family "Bacterial small subunit ribosomal RNA", at positions 28 to 507 of the family's 1533-position model. The record is from RNAcentral.
GACGAACGCUGGCGGCGUGCUUAACACAUGCAAGUCGAACGGAAAGGCCUCUUUCCGGGGGUACUCGAGUGGCGAACGGGUGAGUAACACGUGAGUAACCUGCCCUUGACUUUGGGAUAACUUCAGGAAACUGGGGCUAAUACCGGAUAGGAGCUCCUGCUGCAUGGUGGGGGUUGGAAAGUUUCGGCGGUUGGGGAUGGACUCGCGGCUUAUCAGCUUGUUGGUGGGGUAGUGGCUUACCAAGGCUUUGACGGGUAGCCGGCCUGAGAGGGUGACCGGCCACAUUGGGACUGAGAUACGGCCCAGACUCCUACGGGAGGCAGCAGUGGGGAAUAUUGCACAAUGGGUGGAAGCCUGAUGCAGCAACGCCGUGUGCGGGAUGACGGCCUUCGGGUUGUAAACCGCUUUCGCUCAUGACGAAGCUUUGUGUGACGGUAGUGGGUAAAGAAGCACCGGCUAACUACGUG